ACGAAGCGCUUUCUGUCUUUAUUUAACACCCUGUAAUUAGCGCUAAUCUUCCCGUAACGUUGUGACUGGACUGAGCUGGUGUCAUUGUGGCUAACACCAGGGUCCAUUUCUUCGCCCAGGCUUCCUGGCCGCCGUGAGCACGACUGUGACCUUUUGACAGCGAGAGCCACGUCUUCCACACUCAUUCUUCAUUCUGCCCUCCUUCCUUAAGCCUCACUAACAGAUGAAGGCGUUAAACCUGGCAGGGGCGGAAGAACCACGCGGAGGUCUGAAUCUCUUCAGCGGGAAGACUGCGGCGCGGGCCUCGCGGGGGCCUCGCGGGCCAUAUCACGACAGAGCUACAUGGCUGCAGUCCUGUGUGUGAUCAAAGGACAUCUCUCGUCAUUACUACUCCCAGCAUAUGCAUUUACAAUCAGUGCGACCUGCAGUGUGGGCGCCUCUCUGACUUCAUCCCUCCGGCAUGCUUCCAUAGCGAGGGGAAGUGAUGAGAGGACUCAGCUGGGAGAAAUCAAUAACACUUCACAUGUCAGAAGUUUAAAAAUAUCCCAGCGGCCAAGCAAGGGGGUUGUGGCGGUGGGCUCGGCCGC
Non-coding RNA from Electrophorus electricus (electric eel), 587 nucleotides. Lineage: Eukaryota; Metazoa; Chordata; Actinopteri; Gymnotiformes; Gymnotidae. The record is from RefSeq and is a predicted model, not a curated record.